ACGGUAUCGGAAUAUGCUCGUAAGUUCCUAGAGCUGGGCCGAUACUCCCCUGAGACAUUGAUAGAUGAGAGCAGGAAGGCUAAGAGGUUCCAGUGGGGCCUCCGCCCAGAGAUCAAGCAGCACUUAUUGGUACUAGAGCUCAAGACAAAUUCAGCCGUUCUGGCAAAGGCACAGAUCGUGGAGAGGAGUUUCAACACCCUUUCUCAGUCAGCAGGGAGUCACA
Molecule: long non-coding RNA, 223 nt
Filed under: Carica papaya (papaya)
Lineage: Eukaryota; Viridiplantae; Streptophyta; Magnoliopsida; Brassicales; Caricaceae
Description: long non-coding RNA (CPAP_LNC006717)
Source: RNAcentral